This is a non-coding RNA of Pan troglodytes (chimpanzee), 117 nucleotides long. It matches the Rfam family "Metazoan signal recognition particle RNA". Rfam says of the family: The signal recognition particle (SRP) is a universally conserved ribonucleoprotein. It is involved in the co-translational targeting of proteins to membranes. The record is from Rfam. NCBI's taxonomy places the organism in Eukaryota, Metazoa, Chordata, Mammalia, Primates, Hominidae.
GCUGGGCGUGGUGGCUCACGCCUGUAAUCCCAACACUUUGGGAGGCCGAGGCAGGUGGAUCACCUGAGGUCAGGAGUUCAAGAUCAGCCUGGCCAACAUGGUAAAACCCUGUCUCUA